UACGUAGGGUGCGAGCGUUAAUCGGAAUUACUGGGCGUAAAGCGUGCGCAGGCGGUUCGUUGUGUCUGCUGUGAAAUCCCCGGGCUCAACCUGGGAAUGGCAGUGGAAACUGGCGAGCUUGAGUGUGGCAGAGGGGGGUGGAAUUCCGCGUGUAGCAGUGAAAUGCGUAGAUAUCCGGAAGAACACCGAUGGCGAAGGCAACCACCUGGGCCUGUACUGACGCUGAGGUACGAAAGCGUGGGGAGCAAACAGG
This 253-nucleotide ribosomal RNA is filed under the name uncultured bacterium. RNAcentral's name for it is "partial 16S ribosomal RNA". It matches the Rfam family "Bacterial small subunit ribosomal RNA", at positions 524 to 776 of the family's 1533-position model. The record is from RNAcentral.